RNAcentral lists this ribosomal RNA (429 nucleotides) under bacterium. RNAcentral describes it as "partial 16S ribosomal RNA". It matches the Rfam family "Bacterial small subunit ribosomal RNA", at positions 355 to 776 of the family's 1533-position model. The record is from RNAcentral.
UAGGGAAUCUUCCGCAAUGGGCGAAAGCCUGACGGAGCAACGCCGCGUGAGUGAUGAAGGGUUUCGGCUCGUAAAACUCUGUUAUUAGGGAAGAACAAAUGUGUAAGUAACUGUGCACGUCUUGACGGUACCUAAUCAGAAAGCCACGGCUAACUACGUGCCAGCAGCCGCGGUAAUACGUAGGUGGCAAGCGUUAUCCGGAAUUAUUGGGCGUAAAGCGCGCGUAGGCGGUUUCUUAAGUCUGAUGUGAAAGCCCACGGCUCAACCGUGGAGGGUCAUUGGAAACUGGGAUACUUGAGUGCAGAAGAGGAAAGUGGAAUUCCAUGUGUAGCGGUGAAAUGCGCAGAGAUAUGGAGGAACACCAGUGGCGAAGGCGACUUUCUGGUCUGUAACUGACGCUGAUGUGCGAAAGCGUGGGGAUCAAACAGG